UUAAGCGACUAAGCGUACACGGUGGAUGCCCUGGCAGUCAGAGGCGAUGAAGGACGUGCUAAUCUGCCGAAAAGCGUCGGUAAGGUGAUAUGAACCGUUAUAACCGGCGAUGUCCGAAUGGGGAAACCCAGUGCAAUUCGUUGCACUAUCGUUAACUGAAUACAUAGGUUAACGAGGCGAACCGGGGGAACUGAAACAUCUAAGUACCCCGAGGAAAAGAAAUCAACCGAGAUUCCCCCAGUAGCGGCGAGCGAACGGGGAGCAGCCCAGAGUCUGAAUCAGCUUGUGUGUUAGUGAACGGUCUGGAAAGUCCGACGGUACAGGGUGAUAGUCCCGUACACCAAAAUGCACAGGCUGUGAACUCGAAGAGUAGGGCGGGACACGUGGUAUCCUGUCUGAAUAUGGGGGGACCAUCCUCCAAGGCUAAAUACUCCUGACUGACCGAUAGUGAACCAGUACCGUGAGGGAAAGGCGAAAAGAACCCCGGCGAGGGGAGUGAAAAAGAACCUGAAACCGUGUACGUACAAGCAGUGGGAGCACCUUCGGGUGUGACUGCGUACCUUUUGUAUAAUGGGUCAGCGACUUAUAUUCUGUAGCAAGGUUAACCGUAUAGGGGAGCCGCAGGGAAACCGAGUCUUAACUGGGCGUUAAGUUGCAGGGUAUAGACCCGAAACCCGGUGAUCUAGCCAUGGGCAGGUUGAAGGUUGGGUAACACUAACUGGAGGACCGAACCGACUAAUGUUGAAAAAUUAGCGGAUGACUUGUGGCUGGGGGUGAAAGGCCAAUCAAACCGGGAGAUAGCUGGUUCUCCCCGAAAGCUAUUUAGGUAGCGCCUCGUGAAUUCAUCUUCGGGGGUAGAGCACUGUUUCGGCUAGGGGGUCAUCCCGACUUACCAACCCGAUGCAAACUACGAAUACCGAAGAAUGUUAUCACGGGAGACACACGGCGGGUGCUAACGUCCGUCGUGAAGAGGGAAACAACCCAGACCGCCAGCUAAGGUCCCAAAGUCAUGGUUAAGUGGGAAACGAUGUGGGAAGGCACAGACAGCCAGGAUGUUGGCUUAGAAGCAGCCAUCAUUUAAAGAAAGCGUAAUAGCUCACUGGUCGAGUCGGCCUGCGCGGAAGAUGUAACGGGGCUAAACCAUGCACCGAAGCUGCGGCAGCGACACUAUGUGUUGUUGGGUAGGGGAGCGUUCGUAAGCCUGCGAAGGUGUGCUGUGAGGCAUGCUGGAGGUAUCAGAAGUGCGAAUGCUGACAUAAGUAACGAUAAAGCGGGUGAAAAGCCCGCUCGCCGGAAGACCAAGGGUUCCUGUCCAACGUUAAUCGGGGCAGGGUGAGUCGACCCCUAAGGCGAGGCCGAAAGGCGUAGUCGAUGGGAAACAGGUUAAUAUUCCUGUACUUGGUGUUACUGCGAAGGGGGACGGAGAAGGCUAUGUUACCGGGCGACGGUUGUCCGGUUUAAGCAUGUAGGCUGGUUGUCCAGGCAAAUCCGGAUAAUCAAGGCUGAGGUGUGAUGACGAGGCACUACGGUGCUGAAGUAACAAAUGCCCUGCUUCCAGGAAAAGCCUCUAAGCAUAGGUACAUCAAUCGUACCCCAAACCGACACAGGUGGUCAGGUAGAGAAUACCAAGGCGCUUGAGAGAACUCGGGUGAAGGAACUAGGCAAAAUGGUGCCGUAACUUCGGGAGAAGGCACGCUGGGUGUGUAGGUGAAGUCCCUGCGGAUGGAGCUGAGACCAGUCGAAGAUACCAGCUGGCUGCAACUGUUUAUUAAAAACACAGCACUGUGCAAACACGAAGUGGACGUAUACGGUGUGACGCCUGCCCGGUGCCGGAAGGUUAAUUGAUGGGGUUAUCCGUAAGGAGAAGCUCUUGAGUCGAAGCCCCGGUAAACGGCGGCCGUAACUUAACGGUCCUAAGGUAGCGAAAUUCCUUGUCGGGUAAGUUCCGACCUGCACGAAUGGCGUAAUGAUGGCCAGGCUGUCUCCACCCGAGACUCAGUGAAAUUGAACUCGCUGUGAAGAUGCAGUGUACCCGCGGCAAGACGGAAAGACCCCGUGAACCUUUACUAUAGCUUGACACUGAACAUUGAGCCUUGAUGUGUAGGAUAGGUGGGAGGCUUGAAGCGUGGACGCCAGUCUGCGUGGAGCCAACCUUGAAAUACCACCCUUUAAUGUUUGAUGUUCUAACGUUGGCCCCUUACCGGGGUUGCGGACAGUGUCUGGUGGGUAGUUUGACUGGGGCGGUCUCCUCCCAAAGCGUAACGGAGGAGCACGAAGGUUAGCUAAUCCUGGUCGGACAUCAGGAGGUUAGUGCAAUGGCAUAAGCUAGCUUGACUGCGAGCGUGACGGCGCGAGCAGGUGCGAAAGCAGGUCAUAGUGAUCCGGUGGUUCUGAAUGGAAGGGCCAUCGCUCAACGGAUAAAAGGUACUCCGGGGAUAACAGGCUGAUACCGCCCAAGAGUUCAUAUCGACGGCGGUGUUUGGCACUCGAUGUCGGCUCAUCACAUCCUGGGGCUGAAGUAGGUCCCAAGGGUAUGGCUGUUCGCCAUUUAAAGUGGUACGCGAGCUGGGUUUAGAACGUCGUGAGACAGUUCGGUCCCUAUCUGCCGUGGGCGCUGGAGAAUUGAGGGGGGCUGCUCCUAGUACGAGAGGACCGGAGUGGACGCAUCACUGGUGUUCGGGUUGUCAUGCCAAUGGCACUGCCCGGUAGCUAAAUGCGGAAGAGAUAAGUGCUGAAAGCAUCUAAGCACGAAACUUGCCCCGAGAUGAGUUCUCCCUGAGACUUUAAGUCUCCUGAAGGAACGUUGAAGACGACGACGUUGAUAGGCCGGGUGUGUAAGCGCAGCGAUGCGUUGAGCUAACCGGUACUAAUGAACCGUGAGGCUUAACCUU
Molecule: ribosomal RNA, 2891 nt
Filed under: Klebsiella pneumoniae
Lineage: Bacteria; Pseudomonadati; Pseudomonadota; Gammaproteobacteria; Enterobacterales; Enterobacteriaceae
Description: bacterial LSU rRNA
Rfam family: Bacterial large subunit ribosomal RNA
Source: RNAcentral